ACGGAGGGAGCUAGCGUUGUUCGGAAUUACUGGGCGUAAAGCGCACGUAGGCGGCUUUGUAAGUCAGAGGUGAAAGCCUGGAGCUCAACUCCAGAACUGCCUUUGAGACUGCAUCGCUUGAAUCCAGGAGAGGUGAGUGGAAUUCCGAGUGUAGCGGUGAUUGGAGUGGAUAUUCGGAAGAGGAGCGGUGGCGAAGGCGGCGCACUGGACUGGUACCCACGCUGAUGUUCUUAAGCGUGUCUCACAAAAAG
Molecule: ribosomal RNA, 251 nt
Filed under: uncultured prokaryote
Description: partial 16S rRNA
Rfam family: Bacterial small subunit ribosomal RNA
Source: RNAcentral